GAAACUGUGGAUGUGCAUUUAUGCACGUGGUAGGAGAGCGUUCUAGCGGCGGUGAAGCAUGACUGAGAGGACAUGUGGAGCUUCUAGAAGUGAGAAUGCCGGUAUGAGUAACGAAAGACAGGUGAGAAUCCUGUCCGCCGCAAGACUAAGGUUUCCUGGGGCAGGCUCGUCCGCCCAGGGUAAGUCGGGACCUAAGGCGAGGCCGAGAGGCGUAGUCGAUGGACAACAGGUUGAAAUUCCUGUACUGCACCGAAUCGUUAUGAGCGAUGGAGGGACGCAGGAGGCUAGCAGCGCGUGGUGCUGGAUACCACGUUCAAGCGUCAAGUCUGAGAGCGAGUCAAAUGCUUGCUCUCAUAAGGACAAGGCGUGAUGAGGAGCGAAAUUAAAGUAGCGAAGGCUGCGACGUCACACUGCCGAGAAAAGCUUCUAGCCAGAGACGGUGCACCCGUACCGCAAACCGACACAGGUAGUCGAGGAGAGUAUCCUCAGGUGAGCGAGAGAACUCUCGUUAAGGAACUCGGCAAAAUGGCCCCGUAACUUCGGGAGAAGGGGCGCUGGUCGCAAGAUCAGCCGCAGUGAAAAGGCCCAAGCAACUGUUUAUCAAAAACACAGGCAUCUGCAAAAUCGUAAGAUGAAGUAUAGGUGCUGACACCUGCCCGGUGCUGGAAGGUUAAGAGGAGAGCUUAGCGCAAGCGAAGGUUUGAAUUGAAGCCCCAGUAAACGGCGGCCGUAACUAUAACGGUCCUAAGGUAGCGAAAUUCCUUGUCGGGUAAGUUCCGACCUGCACGAAAGGUGUAAUGAUUUGGGCACUGUCUCAACGAGAGACUCGGUGAAAUUAUAAUACCCGUGAAGAUGCGGGUUACCCGCGACAGGACGGAAAGACCCCAUGGAGCUUUACUGCAGUUUAAUAUUGGGUAUCUGUCAAGCAUGUACAGGAUAGGUAGGAGCCGGAGAAGAUAGGACGCCAGUCUUAUCAGAGGCGCUGUUGGGAUACUACCCUUGCUUGACGGAUGCUCUAACUCAGGCCUGUGAUCCAGGCCGAGGACAGUGUUUGACGGGCAGUUUGACUGGGGCGGUCGCCUCCUAAAGUGUAACGGAGGCGCCCAAAGGUUCCCUCAGAAUGGUUGGAAAUCAUUCGCAGAGUGUAAAGGUAAAAGGGAGCUUGACUGCGAGAGAGACAACUCGAGCAGGUACGAAAGUAGGGCUUAGUGAUCUGGUGGUACCGUAUGGAAGGGCCAUCACUCAACGGAUAAAAGCUACCCUGGGGAUAACAGGCUUAUCUCCCCCAAGAGUUCACAUCGACGGGGAGGUUUGGCACCUCGAUGUCGGCUCGUCGCAUCCUGGGGCUGAAGUCGGUCCCAAGGGUUGGGCUGUUCGCCCAUUAAAGCGGCACGCGAGCUGGGUUCAGAACGUCGUGAGACAGUUCGGUCCCUAUCCGUCGUGGGCGUAGGAAAUUUGAGAGGAGCUGUCCUUAGUACGAGAGGACCGGGAUGGACGCACCGCUGGUGUACCAGUUGUCUUGCCAAAGGCAUCGCUGGGUAGCUAUGUGCGGACGGGAUAAGCGCUGAAAGCAUCUAAGUGCGAAGCCCCCCUCAAGAUGAGAUUUCCCAUUUCUUCAAGAAAGUAAGACACCUCAGAGACGAUGAGGUAGAUAGGCCGGGAGUGGAAGAGCCGUGAGGCUUGGAGCGGACCGGUACUAAUCAGUCGAGGACUUGACCAAAA
This 1722-nucleotide ribosomal RNA is filed under the name Lactobacillus delbrueckii subsp. bulgaricus. RNAcentral describes it as "partial 23S ribosomal RNA". It matches the Rfam family "Bacterial large subunit ribosomal RNA", at positions 1196 to 2925 of the family's 2925-position model. The record is from RNAcentral. Lineage: Bacteria; Bacillati; Bacillota; Bacilli; Lactobacillales; Lactobacillaceae.